Molecule: non-coding RNA, 27 nt
Filed under: Rattus norvegicus (Norway rat)
Lineage: Eukaryota; Metazoa; Chordata; Mammalia; Rodentia; Muridae
Source: RNAcentral
UCCUGUGGUCAAAGGCAUCGUUUCUGU